Molecule: long non-coding RNA, 4313 nt
Filed under: Bemisia tabaci
Lineage: Eukaryota; Metazoa; Arthropoda; Insecta; Hemiptera; Aleyrodidae
Description: lncRNA ENSSSA3NGG008263
Source: RNAcentral
AGAAAAUUUUAGUUUUUCUCAUUCCUGUAGGCAUAUUUCUAGUCUGCUUGACUUUGUAGAAAUGUGUCUGGUAAGUUAACAUGUCCGAGAAACUUGCGUCGAUUAAUCGCUUGAUGCUUUGCAUUUGGCAGGCGUUUUGAAACCGCUGGGCUUGAAAGAAAACGCUGGCAUGCCUCGUCGUUCAUCCUUGCCAUUUGACCUUCAUCAUUCUGCCACCCUCUUCACAGAUGCAUCAAACGGUGAGGAUCUGCGGCACCGGGAAAAAGGUUCUAAAAAAAGCAAAAAGAAAAAACUACUCCGGCGGCGUAGUUCGGGAGGACCUGAUUUACUCUUGCCCCGUGAGCAUUUACUCAACCGGAGGCGGGGCUCUUUGCCAAGUGAAAUGUUUACAUCUCAAUCAGGUGAGCGUCCCUUCAAAAAAAAGUACUCAAGUUCUUAACAAUGACCGAUAACAAUUAUUGGUUUAUCCCAUCAAACUAGGAUUCAUAUGGUAAUAGAGCCAAUCUUUGACAGGCUCUAGAAGGAGGAUGGGCCUUUAUCAAUUUUUGCUAUCACAGUGAACAGUAUUGUGCAGAAAAGAUAGGAACAAAUUGUCAUAUUUCAAUAUCAAGUGACAAUAAUGAUCAGCCGCUACUGGUUUCAUCUUGCUGAGUAAAAUCCCAAGAAUAGGAUUUCUUUUUUGAACAAAAACGUUUCUUUUUCCUUUAUUGUUGAUCAAAUACAUAAUUGCUCAUAAUAAAAAAUGUACUCAACUGUUCUUAAUGUUAUCUUCAAUUUCUGUGUGCACUUUACUUUCCACUCAUACAUCAAGUGUUAGGGUAAAUACCUCUCCUCAGAGGAUGUAUGUUAUGUGAUAUUUUUUAUUACGUUAUUAGUCAUUACAUCAUACAAUCAUUUUUUCUUUUUUUACUUUUUUAAAAAAUUCCCACCUUAUUUUUAUUCUUGUAUAAAGUUAAUCUCAAAGUGCGUUACCAUGUGGCAGUUAUCGAUUAACUUUUUUUGUUAAUUUAUUCUAAUUAUUUUAAAUGUAUUGUGCAAUAACAGAAUGAGCUGACGUGAUCGAAAGCUAUCUACCCAUCUUUCAGUGUAAAUAAUCAAGAGCAAAUUCUCUUGCCGCAUUGUAAAUGAUAAGGUUCUUACAGAAUCUCUUAUUGUGCAGUGCCAUGCCAGCAAUUUUGUUAUCUUUUAAUAAUGUUAACUUUUUAUAUUAAUGUCUCCUUUUCAUUACAAUUUAUGGGAUGUCAUCCUAUCUGUUGAUAAUUUAUGAUCACAAGACAUCAUUUUCAAGGUUAUCGGCUCUUUCUCACUUACCGGUUCGUGGUGUCUCGUGUGAUUCUUAACUUCAAACAUCAUUUGUAGGUUCUUUAAACAAUCAAGUUUGUUCAAGCACCGCACAGUUUGAUGCUUUUGUUCCGAGAAGGUUUAAUGCAGUAUUUUUUUCGUCAGAAAUGGGUUCAGUGUGAACAAACUGAAACUGAUUGAAUUUUGUCUCUAUAUCAAGAAAUUUUCCUUCUCUUAAAGCAUCGAUUUUUAACAAUUAAGAAUUGAACAUAAUAUUUUAGAAUACCUAGCAAAAUUGUCUUGCAUUCUUUUUCUGAGGACCUAUUAUUUUUUUUUUCGGAGCAAAAAUUAUUAGAUUCUCUUCUGUAUUCACAGUCCUCCUGUGAACAACCAUUUUUUUCAACCAUCAUUUUAAAAAAUCUAUUUGUGACCGUGUGGAGAGCAAAUUUUUCAAUAGAGUGAUUUUAUACAAGUCAGUCAAACUAUCGGAAUCUGGGGUUAGGACGGAAAACAUUCUCUGCAUCUCAGAGAAUAAUUGCAAGGGACUUUAAUCAUAUUUCGAUGGUGAAACUCUUAAACCUUCUAUUUCAGUCUGCAACGUUGCAGACUUUCUGUUUUACGUAAUUUUUUAAAUGGUAAACUCCUCAAAAUCAGUUCUUAAAAGCUACCGUGACUUUUUUUCUCGAUAUGAAUAAAAUUCUGUGAAAACUUUGAGGAAUGAUGUUGAUUUGUUCUCAUUUAAGAAAAUAAAACAGGCGCAAAAAAUUUUAAACAUUGCAAUGAGAUAUGUGGUUUGGGAGUUUCAUUGUCGAUUUGUGUCAUUCACAAUUCUGUGGAAAUGGCAAAUCAGAACUUUCAUUUAAAGUCCUGAUUCACCAUUUGACUGAAGAGCGGACUUCAAGCUGUCAAAUUUUUGGUUACAUAUUCGGACAUUUUAGGUGCCAGAAUGUUUGUAAAACACUUUUUUUAUCAGUAUUGAUGGUGCUGAUCUGAUACCUAAUGUUUAGCUUAUUGGCACUAAUGUUCUGGUUGAGUUGCUUUGGUAUUUAUUGCCCUGGUAUUAUUCCUAACGUCCCUUUUCCUACGGAUGGUGAUAUUUGUAAUUUUACUUCUUCAAACAUAAACCUUUCCACUUGUUUUGUUCAAUUUGUUCUGUUAAUAUUCCUUCAAACUUUGAAUCUUUCACGACUUGCAUGAAGCAAAUUAUUUUGUUACAAAGCUAUUACCAAGCUCACAACAAAUAAACGUCAAUAAUGUGAGUCGUCAUGCAGAGCUACUCUAAAGGGAUCUGUAGGCUUUUUCUGAUUUCCCGGAAAUGAUUCCAUCGUUUAUUUAAGAGAAAUUUUGUUUAUAUUUCUCUCUAGAAUUAUCAUUUAAUUCCUCACCAAACAUGUAAAGUUGGAUUUCUAUUCUUUGUAGCAUAUUUUUGGAUGCAAUUUAUUCAGGUAGAAUUCCCAUGUGAUUUGUUUUGAGAGAUUGAGUUCCGGUAGAUUUUCUUCAGCUUAAAUUAAUUGCAUAGUUAUUAAUAACUUAAUUUCUUUAAAUUUCCUUCAACUCCACUUAAAAAAAUUGUUUAUUUCUUGUUUCCAUCAGUCAAUAAACUGAAUCUUUCUCUUGCAAUGAAUGUAACUCUUAGAGAAAACUACUUAUCUCCCAGCCCAGCAUUCCUAAGUAGUAAUAUUAAUGAAUGUUAGUGAAAAAGUGCAACAGUUCCUUUGGAAGUAUCUAGCUCAAAAACUACAAAACCAGUGUCACCAGUCAGUGCAUGAAGGCAGAUUGCUUUAUUUAAAUGUAAAAAUGCAUUUGCAGAAUUACUGAUUAGUAUUUCCGAGUUUUAAAACUUUACUUGACACAAGGGUCAAAUGAUAGUACCUAUAUUAUGAAAAUUUUCCAUGUAAAAGUAUCAGAUAUAUGGGCUCAGACCCCACACCUACUCCAAAAAUUUCAAUCUUUAUAUCAUGCAAUUUUCCAAAGACGUAGCUAUACAUAUAUUGUCUUCCCUAACUUAAUAAUGUUGAGCACUGUCCAAAGUAGUGAUACCUUUUUUUAAUUCAACAUUAGUCAAUGUAAUUUCAGCUUUGAAAUUCUGUAAAGAGAAUUAAAGUAAGAUCGGUUACGCACUUAACAUAAUCGAAAGUAGAUCCAAUUUUAAAUUGAGAAGCUUAGGGGUCAUUAUUUGCCAAGUAAUCCAGUGAUGCAACCCACCUAUUCAGAUUCCCUUGCAUUUUUUUUUUAUGAAAAGGUCUGUAAAAUUUUGAACCCAUGCAAAUGUUUAGGUCUGAAAAUCCAAAACUAUCUAAGAUAGAAAUUAUAUUCAUAUUUUCUGUUUUGGCCUCCGAUUUACUAAAUUGUAUACAAAAAAAUACAUAUCUCUGCAAAGGAUGUAUUAAUAUUCUUCAAAAUUUCAAAAUUUACUGGUAUAGGUAACCGGUUCAAAAUUUGUUGAAGAUAAACUGCAUGAAAUGCGAGAUAUUUCUCCAAAAAUAAUUCUGUUAUCAUUCCUCUAAAUGUUGCCGUUUUUUUUUUUUUUUUUAGACCGAUUCUUCAGGCUUGUGCACAGCAGUGGUGUGGCGUGCUUUGCGAUAUAUCAAUUGAUCUACCAUUUAAACCUAUGGAAAUGAAUCGAUAAAUGGGGUGUUCGCAGCGAACACCUUGAUAAUCGAUUCUUUACCAUAGCUUCAAAAGGGGAAAUAUCGAUAAUCGAUUAUUCACGCCACGCCACUGGUGCGCAGGAACUAGUGCCCUUUGUUUGGCUAAAAAUUAAAAAUCUGCCAACACUUUUUACUCAACUGAUGUGUUAUAAAAAUGUUGCGUGUGAUUGUUUCAGACCAGCCGUUAUUUUUAAAUGAGUACGAAAUGAAGGUAGAAGCACUCAAUAAACCAUUAAUUUAAUUCCUCAAGUUUUUAAAGUAUACUAUAAGAAGUAAUUCCGCGAAAAGGAAAGUUCGGUUUUUGCCGUGCUUUUUGAGCUAGACCAUUUAGCACUAAAUUUUAUUUUAAAGUAAAAAUUUGACAACAUGACUAAUUUGAUA